This is a non-coding RNA of Oryza nivara, 83 nucleotides long. Lineage: Eukaryota; Viridiplantae; Streptophyta; Magnoliopsida; Poales; Poaceae. The record is from Rfam.
GGCCAAUGACUUGAAUUAAUUGUCCGUACCAUCUGAAGCUUGGCAUUUGCUGGUUUAUUGAUGUACCUUUUCUUCUGAGGCCU